RNAcentral lists this long non-coding RNA (945 nucleotides) under Citrus x clementina. RNAcentral's name for it is "Citrus clementina (C. clementina) long non-coding RNA (CCLE_LNC000003)". The record is from RNAcentral. Lineage: Eukaryota; Viridiplantae; Streptophyta; Magnoliopsida; Sapindales; Rutaceae.
UCCAGCGGAAAAAGGCCCCAAAAACGGGUGGGCUAUAGCCUUGGGGGGUGGGGCGGGCCAACUUCGUCCGCCGGACUCGGAACGGCGCGGGAAUUUGCGAGCAGCCUCCAUGUGCCUCACAUAGGCCACGGGCACAGCCGCACCCACAAAUAACCGCCCGAAGGCCGGGGCGCCAAGUUCAUCCAGCGGAAAAAGGCCACAAAAACGGGUGGGCUAUAGCCUUGGGGGGUGGGGCUGGCCAACUUCGUCCGCCUGACACAGAAUGGCGCGAGACUUUGCGAGCGGCCUCCGUGUGCCAAAAAUAGGCUGCGGGCACAGCCGCGCCCAAAAAUAACUGCCCGCAGGGCCGGGGCGCCAAGUUAGUCCAGCGGAAAAAGGCCACACAAAACGGGUGGGCUAUAGCCUUGGGGGGUGGGGCUGGCCGACUUCGUCCGCCGGACUCGGAAUGGCGCGAGACUUUGCGAGCGGCCCCCGUGUGCCAAAAAUAGGCCGUGGACACAGCCGCGCCCAAAAAUAACAGCCCGAAGGCCGGGGCGCCAAGUUCGUCCAGCAGAAAAAGGCCACAAAAACGGGUGGGCUAUAGCCUUCGGCGGUGGGGUGCCCAACUUUGUCCGCCGGACUCGGAAUGGCGCGAGACUUUGCGACCAGCCUCCGUGUGCCAAAAAUAGGCGGUGGGCACAGCCGCGUUCAAAAAUAACCACCCGAAGGCCGGGACGCCAAGUUCGUCCAGCGGAAAAAGGCCACAAAAACGGGUGGGCUAUAGCCUUAGGGGGUGGGGCUGGCCAAAUUCGUCCGCCGGACUCGGAAUGGUACGAGACUUUGCGAGGCACCUCCGUGUGACAAAAAUAGGCCACGGGCACAGCCGCGCCCAAAAAUAACCUCCCGAAGGCCGGGGCGCCAUGUUCGUCCAGCGGAAAAAGGACAAAAAACGGGUGGGCUAUAGCA